Long non-coding RNA from Sapajus apella (tufted capuchin), 1141 nucleotides. RefSeq lists it as uncharacterized. The record is from RefSeq and is a predicted model, not a curated record. Lineage: Eukaryota; Metazoa; Chordata; Mammalia; Primates; Cebidae. The transcript has 3 exons.
AAGAAAGAAAGAGGAAGAAGCCUGAAUGCAGGUAAGGGAGCUUUGGGCUUUGGGUUUGGAGUCAAAAUGUGGACUCCAGUCCUGGCUACAGCACUUGCCUCAGACAAGUGCCUUCCUCUGAGAUUCCUCACCUGUACAAUGGGAGGGUUUAAGAUUCCUUCUACCUCUGAGAAUCUGCACACAGAAUAUGGCUGAAGAGGGGAUGAGCUUUGUGUCUCCUUCCCUCGAGGUGGGGGAAAUUCUUUCCCAGUAUGAAUAAUUCUCACCUUCCCCACCAGAGCAAGGGCAGGCUCUCAGACCCGCCACCUCUCCCUCGUCAUAGCCCUACUGGCCUUGCCGAUGUCCUGAUUCUGUCAACCCCUUUCACAUGCCCCUCCACCAACAUCCUGGUUAUCUUAUUUCCUGGACCUCCUGUCGUAUCUGCUAACCCUUGGUAAGAAUGGUAGCGCUCUGGAGUGAAACGGUCACAUGGAGGCAGCAGAACGCAGUGUGUAUGAACACGCGACUUAAAGUCAGAGAGACACAGGUUGACGUCUAAACUCUGCCACUUCCCAGCUCUACGGCCCUAAGCAAGUCUGAUCCCCGAGAGCUGUUUUUCUUUACUGUAUAACAGGAAUAAUAAUUGUUUCUAUCUCAAGUCUAUUUGUGAAGAUUAAACAAGAUGAAGAACGUGCCCAGCAUAUAGUAAGUUCACAAUAAACAAUAGCUAAUAUUACCAUUUAGCAUUCUGUAGAGCUCAUUUGCAUAUGUGUUCAAGAAUUACCUUCUUAUCUCUUUGAUAUUACUUUCCUCUCCUUCCCCUUAUGCAGAGAACAUCACCACUCUGGAGCCGGACUCAGCAGGAAUAUUUAAGAAACAACUGAGGCAUCAGACCAACUUUCCCCACAAGUCCUCGGAUCUUUCCUGCCACGCCAAUGCCAUAUUUUCCAAUGUGAUCAACCCGGCCCCCUAGAACGGGGACGACUUUGCUGUCUAUGCUAACAUGCCUCCUUUCCAUUGCCCCUAGUGGACAUCGCCAGACCAAGUGGAAUAUGCCUUCAUUGCAUUCCACUGAUGGGAAGCCAACGAGAUGCUCAGAGCAGGGGUCAGACCUGGCCCCAGCUGGGUCUUGGCAUAGCCUUUGCUUUAGAUUUCGGUGUGU